Long non-coding RNA from Cuculus canorus (common cuckoo), 2723 nucleotides. RefSeq lists it as uncharacterized. NCBI's taxonomy places the organism in Eukaryota, Metazoa, Chordata, Aves, Cuculiformes, Cuculidae. The transcript has 3 exons. The record is from RefSeq and is a predicted model, not a curated record.
GGUGGAGGGAGCAAGGGCUUGAGCUGAGUGGGACAAAGAUGCUUUGCACUGGUUCAGCUGAGAGGGCUUCGGGACAGGAGGGAAUGUCACUCACUGCUUUUCUGUAUCAGGAGAAGAGGAAGGUGGCUCUGGCGGUCCUCAGCAUCACAGGAGUCGAAUGUUGCAGUGUUCUCAUUCUGACUUGGGAAAAUUCCCAGUAACUGCAUCCAAGUUUUGCCUGGCUUGUACCUAGACCAAAUUUGGGAAGAUUUUCACAGGAACAGCAGAAGGCAUAUCCCAAAGGCCUCUUGCACCUGCCAAAUUUCACAACUCUGCUCAAAUCAUGGAAAAAAAGAGCUCAAAAGGUCACUGAUAUUUUUAGCCUUACUUCGUAAGGAAAUACAGCUAUGCAAUGACACUGCUGCUUGCUCCCCUUGCAUUCCCUGCUAUUACGUCGGAAUUGUUGGCCAGCCUCAGCCGAAUUUGAAAGAGGAACAGAAGACUGGAAGGUAUUAAGUUGCUACAAGCUUCAUGAAAAUAGAAACUUGGUGAAGCAGAGAUCCCAGUAACAUCGGCAACGAGAGAGAAGCAGCAGGCGGUCAGCCGUUGCUGUACAACAUAUUAAAUAUAAUUUCUUUGCUUCUGCAGUGGGUUCCCACUGAAACUACAGUGCCCUUGGGAUACGUUUUAGUUGCUUCGUAUGUUAGCACCUCAUAGUCUUUGGAGCCAGAGCCGAAGGGCUCAUGGGGAAGUGUCCAUGGCUCUUCGCUCUGUUUAUGAGAUGUAGCAGCCAGAAGAGUAACUGUAGUGAUGCCCUCAGUGCAGCUUUGCACAUGGUAUUAGGGUGGUCUCCUAUCACCCAGUGAUGAUGUCACCUGUGUAUAGUCAAAUAUUUCGGUGAGUUUGUGUUAAACGAAACGUCUUUUGUGUUCUCUAGAAUCUGAAGGCUUUGCUAGAAUAUUAGCCAAUAAUUAAAAAAAGGAUGCCUGAUAUUUGAGUAACAUAAUUUGUUUGUAUCCCUCAGUUUAAAUACGGGCUAAUUACCUUCUCAUUUUAACUUUAAUGACCUCUCACAUUUUAUGUGGCAUGUAAUAUCCUGUGAGGACAUAAAAGAUGGCACAGAAAUAUGAGGCUAUUAAGCCAAAGAUUUAUUUGUAACAUUUGAAGGAAGGAGAUUUUGUGCCUGAAAGCAAGUUCCCUAAAGAUCCUGAAUCAGCAGCAGCUCAAAGACAGCAAGACUCUGUUCUGUCCCCCAGGGAUGAGCCAAGCAAGGGCCAAUGUCCCUUGACCCUGAGGGGCAGUCUGUGCGCAGGAAGCCUCAUGGGAGGCCACGUGCUGAGGUGGAAGAUGAGUGCAGUCCUGCCUCGUUAGCGUGUGCUGUGUCUCAAAACCAGGAUUAAAGACCACUCUGAAACUAUGAGGAACCUUUAAUAGAGCAACAGGCAGGUCAACAAACAAGAGGAGGAAGAAAUCUGGAGGCAUCCAAGUGUUGAGGAAGUCCAGGCUAGCUGAUGCAAAUGCCUGUGGGUCUCUGCCAGGAUCUUCCAGAGUACUAAAUUGCAAAUAAGGCUCUUACUGGACUGAUUAACCUCAUAGGCUCUGCUACAUCAAGUAGUUUUUGCUCAGGUGCAGGUCACAAGGUGAUGCUGAUCUGCGAUAUCCUUUCUUUGUUGCCAGUUUAUCUUCCAGCAUCUGUCUCACCCACGAGCAUUAUCAGCAGUGAUAUUAGGUUUUUUUCUUAGAAGUUAUGAAAAAUAUUUGUUGCAAUGGAGACAAAAUAAAGAAGCCCUGAAGUGGACCGUGUGCAAUGCACACAAGAGGAGAUAAUUCCUAGUCACAUUUUAUUUCUAGACAUCAAGCAGCUUGUAGUUGCUUAAUUUAAUUUAAUAUUGACACAUUGAUUUCAUGCCAUUCUAGUUUCUAAGCCAAUGUUACACAGUACCAAGUCUAAGGGUUUUUAUCUUUCAGCAAAAUUUAUCAACUCAUCAAAGGCGUCCAGUUAGUUUGAGAAAAUAUAUUUAAUGUAAAACAGUGGGGAUUGGCAUCUUUUUUUAGUGACACCCUUUAGUUCUUGGAGUGCUGUGCCAGUUGUUGCAUGAUUUGACCUGUACCAUACCACAGUUGAUUUGUUUGAAUCUUAAGCCUGUCCUGCAGUGAAUCCCUGAAGCAAUUAAUGUAAGAGUUGUGUCAGCUUAUAUAGAAAUUACCUGGAUAGUUUCCAUUCUUGUAGUUUCCUCAUUUUAUUCCAUUCCUAAUCCAAAGGUAAAUGACAAAUUUUGAAAUAUCCCCUGGACUUAAAAUUUACUUUACAAGCCUAUUUUGGUUUAAUCAAAUGGUUUUCAAUAAAACAACAGGUCUGUAGUGUUUUAAUAAGAUCAGAACACUUGACUUAAGCAAAGGAAACUCUAAUUUUAUCAAAAUCAGCACAAAGGGCAUUUUAAUUUGUCUAAAAGAGGCAAUCUCUAAUAGAAAAAUGUUUGGUCGGAGCAUUUUUGAUCAGCUAUACAUAGAAAAAGUGAGGAGAAGAAUCAUAUUGAUGUUUCCUGAAUUAUUGCCUACCCAAUCCUGAUGCUGUGUAGGUGCCCUUACAUGGUGUCCACUACCUCUUGUCCCAGUUUGGUUGCAGUGCAUCCCACCAAAAGAGGAGACAGACCUGCUGUGUCUGCUGGCAGAAUUACGCAGAACUGGCAUCCUGCAGCAGGUCUGACCACCUACCUGGCACUCAGAGGAAAGAAAAGGGCCUU